UCAUCCCUCCGUCCUGUGCUCCUCUGUAGAGGUCAGAGGGUAAAAACAUGCAGUUUAGCGCAACUUGACAUACAGUAAUAUUCUGUGUCUGCACUGUGAGCUGACAAGGAGCAGAGAUUUAUCUGUAGGUUGGUGCAGAGCGGUGAGAUGAUGUCAUGAUGUGAAGCUGAAACCGGAGCGGCUGCACGCUGCUACACGCAGCGCUGACUCAACCUCACUCUAAAAUCCUCUUUAGCCACGAUCACUAAUGGAGUUUGGAUGUAAUGGUUCCUAGUAUAACAGGCUGAACUGCAGCCACUUUAAAUCUCCUUGACGUUAUUGUGCGUAAUGCUUCAGGCCCUUCAACGAGUCCCUGAUGAAUCCCGCUUCUAGCCGUUAUCUCGGAACGCUCCGGCUUCAGGUUGGGAACAGGAGAGGUUUGUUGGGAGCUCCUCAGAUAACCUGCUGGUCUGGAUAACCUGUCGGUUUAUUUUAGCGGCUGCAGAUCAGAGGAGUUCGCUCUGUCUGGCGCCGUUUCAUUUGGGAAUAUCUGGCCACUGCUGCUACCAGGAAGGCUUUCCCAUUCCUCUUCCCAACUCUUGAAGAGUUCCUGAAGUUAUUUUGGUUCAUUCUUCCUGCAAACAGGUCUUAAAAUGUCCAGCAGUAAGAGACAUGGUUCUAUUUCUGGCUCCCUGAUCCUCCUCUUCCCCAGCCGGGCCUUUGGGUCGCUCAGCUGACUGCCAGAUGACCGACCCACCAGAGGGACAUUUCAUUUCACUGCUGUAAGAAACUGUAACCAGAUGACUCUCAUAAAUGUCAGGAGCUACGUGUUUAGCAUUCAGAUGCUAUUUUAGGCUAGCAUAGCUUCGCUGAUAGGCUAGCUCCUUUUAGCACAACUUCAACACAACAAUGGUGUUUCCAUCGUCCAAUCAGAUCGCUAGAGUUAGAAGGACGAGAGAAGCAGCUUGGUUGUCUAUCACUGCUGUUAGCGGAUGUGGCUGUGCAUCAGAUUAAUGGGCGCACCAGAAACAUGCAAACAGAAAGGUUCCUCAGAAAGGUUCCCAACCUGAUAGAACUUAAGCAUGGAAACGAAAUUUGGAUUAAUCGAGUUAAAAUCUUUAAGCGCCUCUGAAGAACAUCCGAUUGUUUUCUGGUCGAAUGUUUUCCUCCCAGGUUCUGUCUGCUGGUUCUGAAUGCAGAGGUCAGAGGUCACGACCUGAAGCUUCUCCAGGUUCCUCCCAGGGUUUUUUCUGGUUUUACUCUGAGAAACAUGCCGUCCGUUCAGUCAGUGGAGGCAGAGCGUCAGCUGUUCUGGGUCCGUCCACAGCGACCGUGACGAACGCAACGUCGGUCUGGUUCAGACAAAACCUGAAACGUUUCCAGGAGCCGAAGAUUUUCUCUGAUCUCACAGGAAGAUUAGCUUCUCUUUCUGUCAUUAGGAAACUUUCUGAAGGACCUAAAACACUCUGACCUGCCAACCCUGGAUCACCUCAGAGACACGUUCACACUCUGAUCAUUCCUCUGCUUUCACACACACCCACACCCACGGCUUUCUUUGGUGGUCCUGCUCUCUGUUGAUAAUCAGGCGGCUGAUAGUUCGGCUUUAUUAACAUCAGGCUUGUAUCUCCUUGAAAACGCGAUGGGCGAACUAGGACGGGAACAACGCGACCUUUGAACCCAGAGGGCAUCUCAUUCAGCUGGCAGCUUGCACUACAGCAGCGUGGGUGUUUGCUUAAACCCAGCAGCUUUCAUUAAAAUCAGCUGGCUUUGUUUCCACGGCGAUCAGUCAGGGUCAGAGGUUUGAUUCCCUGAGGAGCAGAAACACACUGAGCAUGAGAUCCGCUACUUUCAGGCUUCAUGGUGUUAAAAACUGAUAUAAAUCCACUGCAACAUCUGA
Long non-coding RNA from Xiphophorus couchianus (Monterrey platyfish), 1876 nucleotides. RefSeq lists it as uncharacterized. The record is from RefSeq and is a predicted model, not a curated record. NCBI's taxonomy places the organism in Eukaryota, Metazoa, Chordata, Actinopteri, Cyprinodontiformes, Poeciliidae. The transcript is spliced from 2 exons.